GGCGCCAGUUCUAAGCAUUGACCUCAACUAUGGUUGCUAACACAAGAAUCCGCACUGGUGACUUUUGAGCCAUCAAUCAUCCUUUCCUAACACAUGAUUCUUUUGGAAAAUGGUCUCAAAUAGUCAAGACCCCCUGCUGGGGGGAGCGUCUAUCCUGCUCUGUGGAAGAAAUGGGCAUGCCAGAUGCCUGGAAGAUCAGAGGCUCACAUUCCAGUUCAAAGUUAGAGAAACCUGAGAGGGGUGUACUGUUAUGACCAUCCAAGAUCCCAUCGCUGAGAAAGAUAAUGGCCCUGGAGACAAAGACUGAUGAAGAAAGAGAGUAUCCAGCUAUGAUGCAGAUGAAACAUGGGGCAUGGUUGCACUCACUACGCAGCCAAGGCUGGAAGCCACUCUGGAUCCAGCCACUCUGGCACAGCGUUCUUGCUCUAGGAAGGACAACUGAACAUGGCCACACAGGCCUCACAGCUGGCAUAUGGAGUCUGUUAAUAAGCUGAGCUUUGAGGCUUCAAAGGACUCUUGUAGCCUGUGCUGGAUCUAGCAGUGACCAGUAUGCCAGUGGCCAUGGAUGCCCAGGCCCAUGUUCAAUAGUGAAGCAGGUGCUAGCAGCAGAAGCAAUAGAAAUGGAAACUGGGAGAUCUGCUGUGGAUGAAUCUCAUUAUCUUCUUUCUCUGACCCUCUUUGGACUAAAUAAACUCGCAGUAUUCUUGACCAACAGAGGUAGGGUUGGAACAGAGCCUCAAAAGUCAUCAUUAGACUUCCUACUAAUAGGGCAUUAGAAGUUCAAGCGACUAACUAGGAAACAGGUUAGUAUUUGUACCCCUACACUGUGGAACAGAUUACAUACCAUUUGCUCUAUUUGGCAUCCUUUCCUUAGGCUAGAUUCCCAGAAGAAAGAUUACUGAUUCAAAGGGCAUGAACAUUUUUAUGACUCUUGGCCUAAAUUACUAGGCCAAGGUUUUUUCAAAGGGAUGCACUAAUUUUCCCUAUUUCCCCACACCCUUUCAGGUGAUAAAUAAUUGACUUGAUUUGUUUACAUUGACGCCAAGAAUUCUUGGGAAGAAGGAUCAAGGUGAAAAGUGGUAGCCCAUGGUGGGGAGGCCACACUCAGUGAAGUUGUGAAGUCAGCAGCAUUUUUAAGCCCAUUCAUUGCCAGUAGCCCUGAAAUGAGCAUUCUCAAGCUGCUUCCCAGGUCCCUCCUCCACUCUCUCAGGGACAUCCAUUCUAUACCAGCCCCCUCAGAUACUCAUGCCCUUGCCCUCCCUUCUCCAUGCUCAUUAAAACCAGCUUAAGAGCAGAUAUGACAUCAGUCACUUACCUUUUCAUGUGGCUCUAAAUCAAAGUGUCACCUCUCCCAAGCACAUGCUUGCAUCUUAGCUCUGAUUGAGGAAUGAAAAGCUUUGUUCUCUGUUAAAAGAACUUUGAGCUUAGAUGCCCCAGACUGAGAAAUCCACCAAAAGCUGGACCUUUGACUUGAGGGGCAAAGGACCCCCAUAGUCAGGCUGUGAUUUGAGGAGAAUCAAGAGGCCAGAGUUUCCAAGUUGGGACCCAGAAGGUGGGGUUGGCAGAGGGAGGGUAGGAGCAGCCGGAGACUCUGCUCUACCAGGGGAAUACGGAGGUGGGGACCAAACCCAGGGUAAGGAAUGAAAGUAGGAGCCCCAAAAGCUGAAAACAUACUUCAGCGAUGUCAGCAUUUUACCCAGAGCCAUUCCAAGGUGACCAUAACUCACUUAAAAGCCUGAAAGCUGUUUUAUGCCAACAAAUAAAGUGCAGUUUAAUAAAAAA
Molecule: non-coding RNA, 1782 nt
Filed under: Pongo abelii (Sumatran orangutan)
Lineage: Eukaryota; Metazoa; Chordata; Mammalia; Primates; Hominidae
Source: RNAcentral